GUCUAUGGCCACGCCACCCUGAACGUGCCCGAUCCCGUCUGCCCUCAGAAGCUAAGCAGGGGCGGGCCUGGUUGGUACUUGGAUGGGAGACCACCUAGGAAGACCAGGUGCUGCUGUAGGUG
This is a ribosomal RNA of Pteropus vampyrus (large flying fox), 122 nucleotides long. NCBI's taxonomy places the organism in Eukaryota, Metazoa, Chordata, Mammalia, Chiroptera, Pteropodidae. The record is from Ensembl.